AGCAGGCGUGGGCCGCCCUGGUGCUGACGGUCUGGUUUGCCUCCCAGCUCUGCUAGCCGGGCUUUAGUAGUGCGCUUUCUCGCGGCUGUCAUAAGUACCACGCUGUUGACUGGGACACCGAUCUCCAAUUCUGUCCUUGAGGCAAUAAAGAUGUGGCGAAGGCCCGAGGUGAGGCCACUGCCACUGCACUUAGUCCUGCGACUCCCCUAAGGACGGGCCGAGGAAUGGCGGGCUAGCCACUUCCCAGUCCUGUCCCUACGGGGCAGAAAAAGGCUCGGCAUCCCGGGAUCCGGAGGGUCACUUCCCUCGCUGCAUCCCCAUUGUGCAACUGCCAGUCUAAAAAUUGAUAUAGGUCCUGCACAAUCAAGUGUCAGCCGACCUCACUCCCCACUAACUGUACAGUAAGUUGAUCUGCUCUGGAUACCUCAAACACCAACUUCUUUCCAGCAUGUAUGAACCUUUGCAUGGGUUGUUCCCUGUACCUAAAUUCUCUCUUCUCCAUUCAACACGUGGCACUUCCCUUCAUCAUUUAGGUUACGUCUAAAAUAGUACCUUCUUAAAGAAGACUUUCCUGGCUACUGUAUCUCAAGUGAGCACUCUUUUUUUAUUUGCAGGUUCAAUUUCAUUUUUAUACUUUUUACAACUAGCAAUUGUUGUUGUUCCCCCACCCUGUAAAAUCUAAGUUCUGUGAGUAGAAUAACUGUGUUUUGUUUGGUCGCUAAUGUAUCCUCAAUGACUCUCUAACACAAGACAAGCAAAUCAAUAUUUGUUGAACAAUGAAUGAAAGCUGAUGUGGCUGGGUAGAGACCAUGGGGAGGAGUCAGGGGAGUGAAUCUGUAGGCAUGGGCCAAGGCCAGACCCUGUAAGCCUUAGCCAAGUUACUGACUUGAGUAUUACGAAAUGCUUACUGGAUAACCAGUUUUAAGCAUGGGCAUGGUGCAAUCCAAUGUGCAUCUAUCUUUUGAAAAGGUUAAUCUCCUGGAGAAACUAGAGGCAGCCAGGGAGGAUGCUGUUGAACCAGUUAGGAGGCUGUUGCAAGAGAUCCCAGGAAAAGAUAAUGAUAAUGUGGACUUGGAAGAUGGCAGAGGAGUUGCAGAAAAGUAUCCAGAUUUUAAAGAGAGACUGGAAUUUGAAUCUGGGUGAUCCGGCUUCAGAGUCUGUGCAUUCUUUGGCCUCUCAAAGUUUGGAUCCAACACCCCUGGAAUUCUCUUAAGAAAAUACUAAGUGCUUAACUCCACCUGCAAAGCCAUCUCUAGAAGCAAGACUGAAGCAGCUGACUUUUCAACCCCAAAAUAAUACUUUUGAGUAUGUAUUAAUUGCAAAGGUUUAAAUAACAAGUUCAACAAAAAUUUAUCAGCCACCCACUAAGUGACAGAUGUCUCUACCCUUGAGAGGCUCUUAAGAGGCCUUCAUCUAAAGUAGCCCUUCUCAACCUGGGAUUUCAAGAGACAAUUAAUCCCUAAUGCCUUUAGGCACCCAUUGUAUAUAAUGUAUUAACUUCUUUCAUAUACAUCUAGAAUGGCACUGGUUCUACACCGUCCUGAAAAUAAUUUUUUUAUCUCCUGUGGUUCAUAUGGGGAAAUCCAUAUGCAAAGUAUUUCAAAACAUGACAAAUGUUGUAAUAGAAAUGAACAAGGAAUAAUGGGAGCAGAGUGAGCAUAGCUUAAAAGUAAUGGCUGUGAAGUCAGACUUGAGAUUGAGUAUAAGCCCAGCCACUUAUAGGGCUCAUAAAAUUGUUGUAAGGAUUAAAAUAGCAUAUGUAAGUUAUUUAGUAUAAUCCUGGUACAUAGUAGGUUUCAUAGUGGUAGGAAUAUUUAUUAAAUCUGUUUGUUAAGUCAUUAGAAUGCAAACUCGUUACUAUCUUGGUCCUCUAUAGCCCCAACAUCUAAAACCGUACCUUGCACAAAAACAAGUACUCAAUAAAUACUUUUUGAUGUAAUAAGGGAUGUCUACUAGGGAAGAUUUCGUAAUGUAGCAUGUAGGCUGAAGAAAAUGAUUGGGAUUUGCCAGUGAAUUACAGGAGGAGGCUAUUCCAGGCCAUGGAAGGCUGUGAGACAAUGAUAAAAAGAACAAGAGUUCACAAAAGAUUCCAAAAACUAAAUACCUACUUCAGCAUGACUGUGAACAUUAGCUGAAGUGGAUAAUGGCAGGAGAUAAGAAAAGUAGGCAGAGGCUAGAUCAUAAAGGGCCCUAUAUGACAUGCUAAAGAAGAGCUAGAAUUAUAUUCUGUAAGGCCUAGGUUUUGCUCAGCAGAGGUAUGGAAGGAAGAGUGUAGGAAGAGAAGAAAGAAAAGGAUUGAGUCUUAUGUCUAUAAUACCAAAAUCUUAACAAAGUGCAAAUCAAGAAAUGAGACAACAGGAUGUAGAAGUUUAAGCAUAUUAUUUCAGUGUGCAAAGGUAACCAGUACAGGAAAAAAUAUAUGUAACUAGAGCUAAGUGAUUGUCUGUCUUUGUAGGAAGUAAAUAGAUAUCUAUAAUUGAUACAUGAAGAAAUAAUAUUAGGAGGAGCAUAUCAUUUAAAGAUAUAGUAUUUAUAGUAUUUGGUAUAGUAAUUGCCAAAAAUACUAAAAACAAAUUAUAAGAAUAGUUGCCCCUGGAAAGCAGGCCUGGAGAUGUGAAAGGGUGAGUUUUUUUAUUAUAAGAUCUUUUUGAAUUUGUAAUAAACAUUUUUUAAAAUUUAAUGUGUCCUAGCUGGGCUUGGUGGCUCAUGCCUGUAAUCCCGGUGUUUUGGGAGGCUGAGGUGGUACGAUUGCUUGAGCCCAGGAGUUCAAGACCAGCCUGGAAAACAUGGUGAAGCCACGUCUCUACCAAAAAUACAAAAGUUAGCCAGGUGUAGUGGUGUGCACCUGUAGUCCCAGCUCCUUGGGAGGGUGAGGUGGGAGGAUGGUUUGAGCCUGGGAGGCGAAGGUUGCAGUGAGCCAAGAUCAUGCCAUUGCACUCCACCCUGGGCAACAUAGCCAGAGCCUGUCUCAAAAAAAAAACAAAAAACAAGAAAAUUUAAUGUGUCAGAAAAAAAAGCAUUUCUUUGUUAAUCAUUUACUGUGUAUUAGGCUAUGAGAUCCCAUUACCUCCUUAGUGAAGGAAUCUGACAUAUUUUUCUUGUUUGUAGUUUGCAUGUACAAAGUUUUUCCAAAUGUAAGCUGUCGUGGUGAUUUUUCUUCAGAGUCAACUUGACUAGCUUUAGCCUCAGGAAAAAGGCAGUUGGAAAAAAAAAAAAAAGGUUAGCUGUAAAACAGCCUUAAACAGGUCCUUUAGGAGUUAUUCCAGAAGAAGGCAUUGUUAUCAUAGAAGAAGAUAGUUUCAAGUGUGUUAUUACCCCUGAAAACAUUCCAGUAGAACAAAAUGUGAAUGUGGAAGAUGGUGAUAUUGAUGAUCCUAACCCUGUGUAGGCCUAGGCCAAUGUGUGUACAUCUUAGUUUUUAACAAAAAAG
RNAcentral lists this long non-coding RNA (3430 nucleotides) under Homo sapiens (human). RNAcentral's name for it is "non-protein coding lnc-PANK1-2:12". The record is from RNAcentral. Lineage: Eukaryota; Metazoa; Chordata; Mammalia; Primates; Hominidae.